UAGGGAAUCUUCGGCAAUGGGGGCAACCCUGACCGAGCAACGCCGCGUGAGUGAAGAAGGUUUUCAGAUCGUAAAGCUCUGUUGUAAGAGAAGAACGUGUGUGAGAGUGGAAAGUUCACACAGUGACGGUAACUUACCAGAAAGGGACGGCUAACUACGUGUCAG
Molecule: ribosomal RNA, 165 nt
Filed under: uncultured bacterium
Lineage: Bacteria
Description: partial 16S rRNA
Rfam family: Bacterial small subunit ribosomal RNA
Source: RNAcentral